This 478-nucleotide ribosomal RNA is filed under the name uncultured bacterium. RNAcentral's name for it is "partial 16S ribosomal RNA". It matches the Rfam family "Bacterial small subunit ribosomal RNA", at positions 30 to 523 of the family's 1533-position model. The record is from RNAcentral.
AUUGAACGCUGGCGGCAUGCCUAACACAUGCAAGUCGAGCGAGCAGAUCCCUUCGGGGUGAAGCUAGCGGCGGACGGGUGAGUAACACGUGGGCAACCUGCCUCAUAGAGGGGAAUAGCCUUCCGAAAGGAAGAUUAAUACCGCAUAAGAUUGUAGCUUCGCAUGAAGCAGCAAUUAAAGGAGCCAUCGGCUAUGAGAUGGGCCCGCGGCGCAUUAGCUAGUUGGUGAGGUAACGGCUCACCAAGGCGACGAUGCGUAGCCGACCUGAGAGGGGGGUCGGACACAUUGGGACUUGAACACGGCCCAGACUCCUACGGGAGGCAGCAGUGGGGAAUAUUGCACAAUGGGGGAAACCCUGAUGCAGCAAUGCCGCGUGAGUGAUGACGGCCUUCGGGUUGUAAAGCUCUUUUACCCGGGACGAUAAUGACUGUACCGGGAGAAUAAGCCCCGGCUAACUUCGUGCCAGCCGCCGCGGUAA